UGAUCUCCUGAUCAUCUUUUCGCUUGGCAUGAUAAUAAAAAACUGAGGUGCUGAUACAAAAAAGUAUGCAGGCCUGCCGAAGGCUCAUCUGGAAUGUCUCUCGGGCAUAUCCAACAAGCUCACGCUUUUCGACAGGCCCU
RNAcentral lists this small RNA (140 nucleotides) under Pedobacter cryoconitis. RNAcentral describes it as "isrN Hfq binding RNA". It matches the Rfam family "isrN Hfq binding RNA". Lineage: Bacteria; Pseudomonadati; Bacteroidota; Sphingobacteriia; Sphingobacteriales; Sphingobacteriaceae. The record is from Rfam by way of RNAcentral.